CCUACGGGAGGCAGCAGUGGGGAAUAUUGGACAAUGGGGGCAACCCUGAUCCAGCCAUGCCGCGUGUGUGAAGAAGGCCUUUUGGUUGUAAAGCACUUUAAGCAGGGAGGAGAGGCUAAUGGUUAAUACCCAUUAGAUUAGACGUUACCUGCAGAAUAAGCACCGGCUAACUCUGUGCCAGCAGCCGCGGUAAUACAGAGGGUGCGAGCGUUAAUCGGAAUUACUGGGCGUAAAGCGAGUGUAGGUGGCUCAUUAAGUCACAUGUGAAAUCCCCGGGCUUAACCUGGGAACUGCAUGUGAUACUGGUGGUGCUAGAAUAUGUGAGAGGGAAGUAGAAUUCCAGGUGUAGCGGUGAAAUGCGUAGAGAUCUGGAGGAAUACCGAUGGCGAAGGCAGCUUCCUGGCAUAAUAUUGACACUGAGAUUCGAAAGCGUGGGUAGCAAACAGGAUUAGAUACCCUGGUAGUCCACGCCGUAAACGAUGUCUACUAGCCGUUGGGGUCCUUGAGCUUUAGUGGCGCAGUUAACGCGAUAAGUAGCCGCCUGGGGGAGUACGCGCGAGUAACGUACAAUAGAGUAGAGGCGNGAGAGNGCGAGGACGACGACGAGGGAGGAGG
This 615-nucleotide ribosomal RNA is filed under the name uncultured bacterium. RNAcentral describes it as "bacterial SSU rRNA". The stretch from base 1 to 542 matches the Rfam family "Bacterial small subunit ribosomal RNA", at positions 338 to 873 of the family's 1533-position model. The record is from RNAcentral.